GGAGAGAUGCCGGAGCGGUUGAACGGGGCGCUCUCGAAAAGCGUUGUGCCUUCGGGUACCGUGAGUUCGAAUCUCACUCUCUCCGCCA
RNAcentral lists this transfer RNA (88 nucleotides) under Candidatus Omnitrophota bacterium. Its description in RNAcentral is "tRNA-Ser". It matches the Rfam family "tRNA". Rfam says of the family: Transfer RNA (tRNA) molecules are approximately 80 nucleotides in length. The record is from RNAcentral. RNAcentral also lists the same sequence under 1 other name. Lineage: Bacteria; Pseudomonadati; Candidatus Omnitrophota.